Molecule: unclassified non-coding RNA, 440 nt
Filed under: Hevea brasiliensis (rubber tree)
Lineage: Eukaryota; Viridiplantae; Streptophyta; Magnoliopsida; Malpighiales; Euphorbiaceae
Source: RNAcentral
UGACAAGUGUAUUACGUUGCUACUGACAGCUUAUGAAACAGAAAAUAAACUGAGCAAGGCACUUGAUGUUUUGAUGGAUUUAGAGAGGGAUGGUAUUGUGCUUGGCAGAGAAGCUUCUGAAUUAUUGGCUCGUUGGUUCAAGAGACUUGGGGUAGUUGGAGAAGUGGAGCUUGUUCUGAGAGAUUACGCAUCAAACUGCACAUUACUAAACUGAUGUUUUUUGCUUUAGCCAGGAGUUUCCUAUCAGUGGGUAUGUAAACAUUUUACACUAAAGAAACUGGUUUGCUAAAACCCGUCUUCAGUAACUGCAGCUUAUUCCCAUGUCACAGUAAGAGAAAAAGGGGGUUGAAAAACAAAUGAAACUGGAAACAAGAGCUUCCCUUUUCUCAAUCUGACUUGGUGAAUAUAGUCGUAAAUAUGUGUGUGUGCAUAUAUUCAAG